AUCACUUCUCGGCCUUUUGGCGAAGAUCAAGUGUAGUAUCUGUUGUUAUUAGCAUAAUAUUGUAUAUGCAACCAAUAGUCAAUACAAGGUUGGUUGUAUCUGAUAUGAACCAACAUUGAGUUAAAAAUGGACUUUGAGUAUUUUUAAAAAGCUAAUUAACUAGAUUUGCUUACUUAAC
Molecule: small nuclear RNA, 178 nt
Organism: Macaca fascicularis (crab-eating macaque)
Lineage: Eukaryota; Metazoa; Chordata; Mammalia; Primates; Cercopithecidae
Gene: U2
Rfam family: U2 spliceosomal RNA
About the family: U2 is a small nuclear RNA (snRNA) component of the spliceosome (involved in pre-mRNA splicing).
Source: Ensembl